UUGGUACCUGAACUUGACGUCU
Molecule: microRNA, 22 nt
Filed under: Gossypium raimondii (Peruvian cotton)
Lineage: Eukaryota; Viridiplantae; Streptophyta; Magnoliopsida; Malvales; Malvaceae
Description: gra-miR8645
Source: miRBase by way of RNAcentral